CAUGUUUUACUUUACCUACUUGAAUUAUAAUUGUCCAUAGUCCGGCUUCCGGCAAAAUUGUAUGGUCAAUUGCCUUAUAGAAUAUGCGAUUUCUACUUGGGAGCAUUUUUUUUUAAUUUCAUUUUAACGAACUUAUUAAAAAAUGAUAUAUGACACUUUUAUAUUUAACUUAAGCGAAAUUAAGAUAAAUUAUGAUAAUAAUCUUUGUUGUAAUUUGUUUAUCCCAGGUCAUGAUAAAGUACAGAUAAAAGUACAUAAAAUAUGUCCAGAUGCAGAUUUAGGGGGGCAGGGAGCCGGGCCCCCCUUUUGAGAAACAAAAUUGGUUGAUUAUAUAGGGAAUCACUGAAGCGUGACGGGAGUUGGGCCCUCUUAUGCAGCCAGAGGGCCCCAACUUAUGAAAUUUUUUUAGAUCCGCCACAGUGAUGUCUUGCUUUAUCAUGAUCAAUAUAUUAUCUAUAAUUGCUCAAUAAUAUUUGUCUUUAAUUGUAUUGCAUAAAAAUAAAAUGUUUAAACAUCUGUAUAAGU
RNAcentral lists this long non-coding RNA (525 nucleotides) under Mytilus galloprovincialis (Mediterranean mussel). The record is from RNAcentral. Lineage: Eukaryota; Metazoa; Mollusca; Bivalvia; Mytilida; Mytilidae.